GUUAAAAAAGAAAAAAAAAAUCUAAAGAACAGAUAACAGGGAAAAAAAAUCACCUAAUAACUUGCAAAAUGCUUAGCAUCUUUCUCAAACCAAAACUCUAAUGGUAAAUACCUAAUAAGUUACUAUGUAUGGCAUCAACUACCCAACCCACCAAAUUUGAUUGGACUGGGCAUCCUGAUAAAGGGGGAAAAAAAUUCUCCAGUCCAAAUUAAUCACAUCCAUUGUAGUAAGUUAUGCCAUAUAACUACCAGAAUCACGAAUUCAACAUUCCCUUAUUCCCUCAUCUCAUCCACAGAAACCCUUAAACAGCAUUCAAACCGAAGCUUUCCCACUUUCUUAUAACUGCCUCAUGUUAAAAUGAUGUACUUUAGAAGACAUCAAAUCAACCACUUCAAUAACUUAAGACCUUUUCAAGUCAGCCUCAUAGACCAUUCCAUUUACAUAUUCCUUACAAGAAAAAGCCUAAAAUGUG
RNAcentral lists this unclassified non-coding RNA (472 nucleotides) under Hevea brasiliensis (rubber tree). Lineage: Eukaryota; Viridiplantae; Streptophyta; Magnoliopsida; Malpighiales; Euphorbiaceae. The record is from RNAcentral.